GAGACACCCAUAUAGAAUAGGACUUGCUUCAGUGGGGCUUUGGUGCUCACUGAGUCUGCCCCUUGAGUGUGUUGCU
This 76-nucleotide microRNA precursor is filed under the name Myotis davidii. RNAcentral describes it as "mir-9229 microRNA precursor family". It matches the Rfam family "mir-9229 microRNA precursor family". Lineage: Eukaryota; Metazoa; Chordata; Mammalia; Chiroptera; Vespertilionidae. The record is from Rfam by way of RNAcentral.